GAUGAACGCUAGCUACAGGCUUAACACAUGCAAGUCGAGGGGAAACGACAUCGAAAGCUUGCUUUUGAUGGGCGUCGACCGGCGCACGGGUGAGUAACGCGUAUCCAACCUGCCCAUCACUUGGGAAUAACCUUGCGAAAGUAAGACUAAUACCCAAUGACAUCCCACGAAGACAUCUGAAUGGGAUUAAAGAUUUAUCGGUGAUGGAGGGGGAUGCGUCUGAUUAGCUUAUUGGCGGGGUAACGGCCCACCAAGGCAACGAUCAGUAGGGGUUCUGAGAGGAAGGUCCCCCACAUUGGAACUGAGACACGGUCCAAACUCCUACGGGAGGCAGCAGUGAGGAAUAUUGGUCAAUGGGCGAGAGCCUGAACCAGCCAAGUAGCGUGCAGGAUGACGGCCCUAUGGGUUGUAAACUGCUUUUAGAAGGGAAUAAAGUGGGUCUCGGGAGACUUUUUGCAUGUACCUUAUGAAUAAGGACCGGCUAAUUCCGUG
This 492-nucleotide ribosomal RNA is filed under the name uncultured bacterium. Its description in RNAcentral is "partial 16S ribosomal RNA". It matches the Rfam family "Bacterial small subunit ribosomal RNA", at positions 28 to 507 of the family's 1533-position model. The record is from RNAcentral.